RNAcentral lists this transfer RNA (93 nucleotides) under Actinoplanes lobatus. RNAcentral's name for it is "tRNA-Ile". The record is from RNAcentral. Lineage: Bacteria; Bacillati; Actinomycetota; Actinomycetes; Micromonosporales; Micromonosporaceae.
GGUGGCGUGGCCGGCGGGCGGGGCUGAACCGGGAUCCGGUGCGGGGCCGUGACCUUCCGGCCCCACGCCCGGAUCUUCUCCGGGGCGUUGCCG